UACGUAGGGUGCGAGCGUUAAUCGGAAUUACUGGGCGUAAAGCGUGCGCAGGCGGAUUGUUAAGCAAGAUGUGAAAUCCCCGGGCUUAACCUGGGAAUGGCAUUUUGAACUGGCAGUCUAGAGUGCGUCAGAGGGGGGUGGAAUUCCACGUGUAGCAGUGAAAUGCGUAGAGAUGUGGAGGAACACCGAUGGCGAAGGCAGCCCCCUGGGAUGACACUGACGCUCAUGUACGAAAGCGUGGGGAGCAAACAGG
RNAcentral lists this ribosomal RNA (253 nucleotides) under uncultured bacterium. Its description in RNAcentral is "partial 16S ribosomal RNA". It matches the Rfam family "Bacterial small subunit ribosomal RNA", at positions 524 to 776 of the family's 1533-position model. The record is from RNAcentral.